AUGUGGUUAAUUCGACGCAACGCGAAGAACCUUACCUCGGUUUGACAUCCCGAUCGUAUUUCCUGGAGACAGGAGAGUCAGUUCGGCUGGAUCGGUGACAGGUGCUGCAUGGCUGUCGUCAGCUCGUGUCGUGAGAUGUUGGGUUAAGUCCCGCAACGAGCGCAACCCUUGCCUUUAGUUGCCAGCAGUUCGGCUGGGCACUCUAAAGGGACUGCCGGUGUUAAACCGGAGGAAGGUGGGGAUGACGUCAAGUCCUCAUGGCCUUUAUGACCAGGGCUACACACGUACUACAAUGGCCGAUACAAAGGGCAGCGACACUGCGAGGUGAAGCCAAUCCCGUAAAAUCGGUCUCAGUCCGGAUUGGAGUCUGCAACUCGACUCCAUGAAGUUGGAAUCGCUAGUAAUCGUGGAUCAGCAUGCCACGGUGAAUACGUUCCCGGGCCUU
This 445-nucleotide ribosomal RNA is filed under the name uncultured Desulfobulbus sp. RNAcentral's name for it is "bacterial SSU rRNA". It matches the Rfam family "Bacterial small subunit ribosomal RNA", at positions 939 to 1382 of the family's 1533-position model. Lineage: Bacteria; Pseudomonadati; Thermodesulfobacteriota; Desulfobulbia; Desulfobulbales; Desulfobulbaceae. The record is from RNAcentral.